RNAcentral lists this long non-coding RNA (1941 nucleotides) under Homo sapiens (human). Its description in RNAcentral is "HSALNT0369977". The record is from RNAcentral. Lineage: Eukaryota; Metazoa; Chordata; Mammalia; Primates; Hominidae.
UUUUUAACUGCCUAGCAGGACAAGAGGCCAUAUGCAGUUUUCCCCUUGGCUGAUCUUUUCUUCUUGUGGCUUAUUCCACAAACAAGAUGCAGAAUGGCAUAUACAGAACCCUGCAACGGCCCAGCCUCAUCACAAGAGAGGAACAGACCAUAGAGGGGUGGGGCAGAAAGAGGAAUGAUUUUUUUUUAACUGCGCCUUUUAAACUGCGAAGCAGCUAAGCUCCAUAUAUACAGAAGAGCCCCAUGGAAGUCUGGGUGUAUAUAGGGUUAUGUUUUCCAGAAUGGCUUGGUUUCCUGAAGCCUACUUUGCAAUUGUUGAAGUGAUUUGCCCACUCUAGAGAAGGUAUAUGAAGUGGAAAUGGAAUAUGAAGAGAUAUUCGUACAAGGGAACAAGAUGGAGUCUCACUCUGUUGCCCAGGCUGGGGUGCAGUGGUUUGAUCUUGGCUCACUGCAACUUCUGCCUCCUGGAUUCAAGCAAUUUUCCUGCCUCAGCCUCCCGAGUAGCUGGGAUUACAGGAACCCACCACCACGCCUGGCUAAUUUUUUUUUUUUUUAUUUUCAGUAGGGACAGGGUUUCACCAUGUUGCCCAGGCUGGCUUCAAACUCCUAACCUCAAGUGAUCUGCCUGCCUCAGCCUCCCAAAGUCCAAGGAUUACAGGCAUGAUCCACAGUGCCCACCCAUUAACAAAGUCUUUCUUAACAAAAUCUGCUGGCGGGGAGGGUGAGGGUGCCUAAAAUGAAGAGGUUUGAGGGGUAGGAGGGAUGCAGAUCUGUGAUUAGGCCAGGUUAGGACUAAAGGAGGGGUCCCUGGGCCAGCCCUCAGGACUGGAGAACCCCUGAGAUAGACAGGACAAUGCCCCAUCACCCUUAUGCCAAACACACCUGGAGGAUCUGAGUGUUGUCCUUCUCCUUGACUAUUGAGGAAGGAGAACUAGUCCCCUGAGAAACAGAUAAAAGAGGUCAGUAUCCUGGAUUGCAUCCUUAGACUACCAGUACUAUUUUAUCAUCUACUAAUUAAUUCUCUGGGCUGUAGAAUGUGUCUUUUCCAUUAUCAGCUACAAGUUUAGUUUCAUAUGUGGGUACUUACGAAUAUGUAUAAAAGGGAAUCAGUGUUUAAGUACAUUCUUGUACCUGAUGCUUUAUUUUCAUUUCCUUAUUGAAUCUCCUCUACACCUGCGUGUAGUUGUAUUCUUACCCAUCUAUUGUAUGUGAGAGAAACAAAACUCAAAAAGGCCAAGUAGCACACUUAUGCAAAGGAACACACUUGUGAAAAACUGGUCUGGCAUUCAAAUUUAGGUCAGAUUCCAAAGCCCCUGCUCUUUCUACAACAUCGUGGAGGCUGGUGAGAUGUAGAUUUCCUCACAAGCUGAGGAGAUUGAAUUUGGCAUUGAAUAGCGUCAUCCAAAUUCUUACCUCUGAAAAUAGUUUUGGCAGCUCCUCAAGUAACUGCUUUGUAUUUUGUUGCCUAACAUUCAUUUCUGUUUGAUAACAUUUCCAAUAUUUAAAUACAUUGAAGAUUUUGUUGAUCUGCUGACAUUUAAAUUAGUUUUUGCAUCUUUCCUUCUGACAAUUUUAGGUCAUUGAAUUUCAGAACAGAGUCAUGAUUAUAAAAAAAGAGUUUCCACCAUAUGUAAAAAGACUAUGAUGUUAUACACAGAAAAAAAGGCCAAAGAUGAAAGUUCUGAAACUAUAUACUUCUCAGAGAGGAAUCCAACAAACGCCUUUGCCAAAUCAUGUUGGGAGCUGGUUACAAUGCAGAAUCUUGAACCCCACCCUAGAGAUACAGAUCUGGACAUGGGACCCUAUUACCUACGUUUUCAACACAAAAGUUUAGGAAUCACCACUAUAAACAAUGCACUGUGAAAUAAGUUAUAUUGUAAAGACCCAAACCUUGGAAGUUUUUAUACCCUGAGAGUUCCAAGGAGUGCCACUUCCAGUUCCA